RNAcentral lists this ribosomal RNA (506 nucleotides) under uncultured bacterium. RNAcentral's name for it is "partial 16S ribosomal RNA". It matches the Rfam family "Bacterial small subunit ribosomal RNA", at positions 29 to 523 of the family's 1533-position model. The record is from RNAcentral.
AGUGAACGCUGGUGGUAGGCCUAACACAUGCAAGUCGAACGGCAGCACAGGAGAGCUUGCUCUCUGGGUGGCGAGUGGCGGACGGGUGAGGAAUACAUCGGAAUCUACUCUGUCGUGGGGGAUAACGUAGGGAAACUUACGCUAAUACCGCAUACGACCUACGGGUGAAAGCAGGGGACCUUCGGGCCUGGCGCGAUUGGAUGAGCCGAUGUCGGAUUAGCUAGUUGGCGGGGUAAAGGCCCACCAAGGCGACGAUCCGUAGCUGGUCUGAGAGGAUGAUCAGCCACACUGGAACUGAGACACGGUCCAGACUCCUACGGGAGGCAGCAGUGGGGAAUAUUGGACAAUGGGCGCAAGCCUGAUCCAGCCAUACCGCGUGGGUGAAGAAGGCCUUCGGGUUGUAAAGCCCUUUUGUUGGGAAAGAAAUCCAGCUGGCUAAUACCCGGUUGGGAUGACGGUACCCAAAGAAUAAGCACCGGCUAACUUCGUGCCAGCCGCCGCAGUAA